UGUGUCGGGAAAUGAACACCACGCCAUGGUUUUUCAAUUAUUAAUAUUGGCUGCAAAUCUAUAUUGCAAUCAUGCGCACAUUUCAGACAGAAAACUGUUAGGGAGGCAUUCAUCAAGGGGAGGAGAGGGUGCCUGGUACAGACCGCAGGGAUGCACGCAGACGUGCUGUGGAAUUACUAAUGCCUGCCAGCCCAGGCUGCCCUCGGAAGCUCAGAUCAGCAACACCGCAUCUGAGUGGAAGCGCCACACUAAUGACGGAGAGAAACAGCACACGGAUAUCGCUUCCAGACUCCACCUGGCAAACCAGCACUGACUGUGGAAAGAUCCAGGACUUUGUUGUGAUGGAACAGAGGGAAGACCUGGAUAUUUUACCACCCAGAGUCUGUGUACUCAGAUCCAGUGGGAGACACAUUCAUUCCAUUUGGAUUCUGCACUGAAUUCCAGGGGAGGAGAACACAGUUCAGCUGUAUUCAUCGUAGCAGAAGCAGAUGGUAUCUCCCCGUCUCUCUGCCUGGGGUCUGGGGGUCUGGGUGAGGGCAGCAGUGGUACCUGCUAGAGUUGCCGCGGUCGACUGACGGCAGGAGAUAAGACAACACAGCCCCGCUCACCCAUGAGCCCGGACUCUGAUGCCAAGCGAGCUAUCUGUAUUCAGAAGAAGUUCCUCAUAUUCACUCUGGGAUGCGAUGUAGCGCGCAGCUUUCAUGUGUCACUCUCAGUAUCUGAUAUUAACCUUUGUGCCAAGCUGUCAGCAGUAUGAAGGCUGUGAGAUCUCACUUUCGAUGGAAACAUUAAGAGCGAACUAUCCCUUUUCCAGGGUUUCUAAGAUAUGUGAGACCAGCUUAGAUACCACAUCACCAAUUUGUC
Lepisosteus oculatus (spotted gar) is the source of this 864-nucleotide non-coding RNA. The record is from RefSeq and is a predicted model, not a curated record. NCBI's taxonomy places the organism in Eukaryota, Metazoa, Chordata, Actinopteri, Semionotiformes, Lepisosteidae.